Molecule: ribosomal RNA, 253 nt
Filed under: uncultured bacterium
Lineage: Bacteria
Description: partial 16S ribosomal RNA
Rfam family: Bacterial small subunit ribosomal RNA
Source: RNAcentral
CACGUAGGGUGCAAGCGUUAAUCGGAAUUACUGGGCGUAAAGCGUGCGCAGGCGGUUCUAUAAGACAGAUGUGAAAUCCCCGGGCUCAACCUGGGAACUGCAUUUGUGACUGUAGAGCUGGAGUACGGUAGAGGGGGAUGGAAUUCCGCGUGUAGCAGUGAAAUGCGUAGAUAUGCGGAGGAACACCGAUGGCGAAGGCAAUCCCCUGGACCUGUACUGACGCUCAUGCACGAAAGCGUGGGGAGCAAACAGG